This 250-nucleotide ribosomal RNA is filed under the name uncultured bacterium. Its description in RNAcentral is "partial 16S ribosomal RNA". It matches the Rfam family "Bacterial small subunit ribosomal RNA", at positions 528 to 777 of the family's 1533-position model. The record is from RNAcentral.
GAGGAUCCGAGCGUUAUCCGGAUUUAUUGGGUUUAAAGGGAGCGUAGGCGGAUGUUUAAGUCAGUUGUGAAAGUUUAAGGCUCAACCUUGAAAUUGCAGUUGAUACUGGACGUCUUGAGUGCAUUAAAUGUGGGCGGAAUUCGUGGUGUAGCGGUGAAAUGCUUAGAUAUCACGAAGAACUCCAAUUGCGAAGGCAGCUCACAGGACUGUAACUGACGCUGAUGCUCGAAAGUGUGGGUAUCAAACAGGA